AUAAAAUAAUUAUAUUUUUGAAAAUUUAUUAUAAAUUUAUUUUACAUAUAAAUUUUAGUGUGUGAUUUUAAUUAUUUAAAUAAUAAUUAAUUCAAAUUAUAAAAGUAGUAAUUAAUAUUAAAAAUUUAAGAAAUUAAGAUUUAGUAAUAUAAAAAUUAAUAACUAAUUUUGUGCCAGCAGUUGCGGUUAAACAAAAGUUAAAUUAAAUUAUUUCAGUUUAUAAUAAAUAAAUAUUUUAUUAAAAUAAAUAUUAAAUUAUUAAGUGAAAUUUUAAUUUAAUUAAAUUUUAUUUAAUUAUUAUGAUUUAAUAAAUUUUAAUAUAAACUAGGAUUAGAUACCCUAUUAUUAAAAAUUUAAAUUAUAAUACUAAAAUAGUAAAUAAUAAUUUAUUGAAACUUAAAUAAUAUGGCGGUAUUUUAGUUCAUUUAGAGGAAUCUGUCUAAUAAUUGAUAAUCCACGAAUAAAUUUACUUAAUUUAUAAUUUUGUAUAUCAUUGUUAAAAAAAUAUUUUUUAGUAAAAAUAAUAUUUAAAUUUUAUUAUAAAAAAUUAAAUCAGAUCAAGAUGCAGAAUAUAAUUAAGAAUAUGAUGGAUUACAUUAAAUAUAUUUAAAUGAAUAAUUUUAUUGUAAAAUAAAUUUGAAGGUGGAUUUAAAUGUAAUUUUAUUUAAUUUAUUAAAAUGAUUAAUAAUUAAAAUAUGUACAUAUUGCCCGUCACUUUCAUUUAAAAAUUGAAAUAAGUCGUAACAAAGUAGAGGUACUGGAAAGUGUUUCUAGAAAGA
This 779-nucleotide non-coding RNA is filed under the name Precis eurodoce. The record is from RNAcentral. Lineage: Eukaryota; Metazoa; Arthropoda; Insecta; Lepidoptera; Nymphalidae.